Coffea arabica (coffee) is the source of this 343-nucleotide non-coding RNA. NCBI's taxonomy places the organism in Eukaryota, Viridiplantae, Streptophyta, Magnoliopsida, Gentianales, Rubiaceae. The record is from RefSeq and is a predicted model, not a curated record.
GUGAGGGAGAGAAAAUUUGGUUAGCUUCAUCAUCUGCUAAUCAUAAUCAAGAAGAGAAAGGCAAGGAAAAUAGGAGGGAUAGCUGGUGCAGACCUUGAGGAAACAAAGCUGGGAAAAUCUGGAAGUAGCCGUGAACCAGGAAACCAACUCGAGACUCGAGAGUAGUCAUUUGAAUCUUUGGAGUUGGAGAUUGAAAAGUGAUUAGAUGGAAUUGGAAAGUUGUUUUGGGAAAUUCCAUCACUAUGUGUAUAUAUUGGAGUCACGUUUUCUUUUGUAUUUUAAGAUGGUUGAAUCUUCUGUUUUGAGUUGAUGUAAUAUUAAGAAUGGAUGUUUAGAACGUGUA